CUCUUAAGUUUCUCUUCAUGGGAGGAAAAACAGCAUUUUUUUUUUUUUCACAGAGGUCUUUUCCAGUGUCUAAUGUGAACAUGCAGUGCUGGAGAAGCACAGCAAUAUGCCAUUCCUUUUAGGCUUGCCCAUGUCCAGAUGUACAUCCCAAGAUUUGCUAGCUCUGGGGAACGUAAAGCAAACUGAAGGAAACAGGAUUUUACUGAAAGAAACAGGAUUCUACAGAAAAGAAGCAGACCCAUAAGAACUGUACAGAGAACAUUUUCUUUCGGAGUACCUACUGUUAUGCAAUUGUGCUAAGACUAUGCCUCUGUAUUUCACAUCCCUUUUAUGAGUUUGCCAGAGGCAGCAGAAGCCAUAGAGGACCUUUCUCCAAGGCAGAGAAUGCAGAUGAUCCCACUCUGAAGAGAGACGAUGCAAAGCACAAAGGUUUCAGCGUACCCACAUGGUACCACAUGGAGCUUUGUUGUAGGAGCAUCAAGCGAUUGAGAUAUUGACACGGCUGCAUGCAAACAGAUGUGAUCUCCUCCGCUGCACAUGGAGUUGUCUGUAUAGAAACCGGCUCCGUUCCAGAAACUUUAUAGAUGCAUUGAUGCAGUGCUGCUUUGAAGCUAUUAAGACAUGACUUUCGCCUACGUUGAUAUGCCUUUAGUGAAUUAACUGUGAAGUCCAAAGAUGUGAAAUGCAUGCAAGUCUCCCAAGCUCGGCUAAAACCUGAUGUGCUGUUCUUCAGCAGCAAUAGCUUGUUACUAAGUGACGCUUGAAUCAAGAGUGAGGGACGUGGAAACUGUUUUCAAAAAAUUCUUACCUUGUGGUAUUUAACAUUUCUUUCUGGCUGUAAUUAUACCUAAUAACUAUUUAGUCAAGUAUUUAAGAGCCUAUUUUAUUAUCACUGCCCUUAUUUGUAUUACAGUACCAUGGAUUAAAUUUAGGACAAUAUACAAGUUUAUCUUUUCUUUGUAGUAGACUGAUAGCAGUAAUUUGUCACAGUUUCCAUCACAGGCCACAUAAUUAAGAUCAGAGUUAAGAAUUGGACUGUGAAGAUCUCAACCACUGGGACCACUGCUGUGCACUGAGAUAACCAAAAAAGGUAGAGAAUAAGAAGACAGUGUAAUUUGAAAUUAAUCAAGAUGUAACAACUCCCUUUUGUAGACUGUGGUUGGGAAUUCUCAGUUGAGCUGACUGUGCCAAUGACUGAAUCACAGUUGCUGGACUGUUCACUUCAUGACCUAACGCUGUGCUCUUCUCACAGCUGCUGAGUUGCAGAUAAAUCCUGUGCAGCCUAAGACCUUAGGUUGCCUGAGGUUAAUGUAUCACUGACAGUUUACACCAGUUGAAGAUCUGUCCCUGGGUAUCUGAAUCCUACAGAUAGCGUUCUUUUCUAAUGAGCAAGAGGUUCAGAGGAACUACAAGGCCUGUGUGAUGUGAGGAUACUGGGAAGAUAUUCCUGCUGCAGCCUGACAGAAAAUGAUAGCCAAGACCCUAAUGCUAGUUUCU
This 1497-nucleotide long non-coding RNA is filed under the name Struthio camelus australis. RNAcentral's name for it is "lncRNA (ENSSCUG00000013671.1)". The record is from RNAcentral. Lineage: Eukaryota; Metazoa; Chordata; Aves; Struthioniformes; Struthionidae.